Molecule: ribosomal RNA, 492 nt
Filed under: uncultured bacterium
Lineage: Bacteria
Description: partial 16S ribosomal RNA
Rfam family: Bacterial small subunit ribosomal RNA
Source: RNAcentral
AGUGAACGCUGGCGGUAGGCCUAACACAUGCAAGUCGAACGGCAGCACAGUAAGAGCUUGCUCUUACGGGUGGCGAGUGGCGGACGGGUGAGGAAUACAUCGGAAUCUACUUUUUCGUGGGGGAUAACGUAGGGAAACUUACGCUAAUACCGCAUACGACCUACGGGUGAAAGCAUGGGAUCUUCGGACCUUGCGCGAUUGAAUGAGCCGAUGUCGGAUUAGCUAGUUGGCGGGGUAAAGGCCCACCAAGGCGACGAUCCGUAGCUGGUCUGAGAGGAUGAUCAGCCACACUGGAACUGAGACACGGUCCAGACUCCUACGGGAGGCAGCAGUGGGGAAUAUUGGACAAUGGGCGCAAGCCUGAUCCAGCCAUACCGCGUGGGUGAAGAAGGCCUUCGGGUUGUAAAGCCCUUUUGUUGGGAAAGAAAAGCAGCAGGUUAAUACCCCGCUGUUCUGACAGUACCCAAAGAAUAAGCACCGGCUAACUUCGUG